UGCAGAUGAUGUGAGAGAAUAUUUGCUAUCUGAGAGAUGGUGAUGCUGCUUCAGCCACCAAGAUCUCUGAUGCA
Small nucleolar RNA from Loxodonta africana (African savanna elephant), 74 nucleotides. Its record names the gene SNORD24. It matches the Rfam family "Small nucleolar RNA SNORD24". Rfam says of the family: U24 is a member of the C/D class of snoRNA which contain the C (UGAUGA) and D (CUGA) box motifs. Lineage: Eukaryota; Metazoa; Chordata; Mammalia; Proboscidea; Elephantidae. The record is from Ensembl.